CGGGGCCUACGGGACGCAGCAGUGAGGAAUAUUGGUCAAUGGCCGGGAGGCUGAACCAGCCAAGUCGCGUGAGGGAAGACGGCCCUACGGGUUGUAAACCUCUUUUGUCAGGGAGCAAGAGGCGGGUCGAGACCUGCUGUGAGAGUACCUGAAGAAAAAGCAUCGGCUAACUCCGUGCCAGCAGCCGCGGUAAUACGGAGGAUGCGAGCGUUAUCCGGAUUUUUUUGGGUUAAAGGGGG
RNAcentral lists this ribosomal RNA (239 nucleotides) under uncultured bacterium. Its description in RNAcentral is "partial 16S ribosomal RNA". It matches the Rfam family "Bacterial small subunit ribosomal RNA", at positions 333 to 569 of the family's 1533-position model. The record is from RNAcentral.